CAUCCCAGGGGGGUCCCUCUGGUGCAGGGGGUCCGACAGGGUGGUGAGGAGGGUCUGGGUGUGCGGGCUUGGGGAACGCAGGAGCAGGGGACUGGACAUCCUGGCCAACACCUCCUCAGGCAGAGAUGGAGGAGAGGUAGGGAGCUAAGAGAGGUGAUGAGAGGUAAUGUCGGGGAGGGAGGGCGGAGCAGGAAGAGGUAAUGUCGGGCAGGGAGGACGGAGCAGGAAGAGGUAAAGUUGUGGAGGGAGGACGGAGCAGGAAGAGGUAAAGUUGUGGAGAGAGGACGGAGCAGGAAGAGGUAAAGUUGUGGAGAGAGGACGGAGCAGGAAGAGGUAAAGUUGUGGAGAGAGGACGGAGCAGGAAGAGGUAAAGUUGUGGAGGGUGGACGGAGCAGGAAGAGGUAAAGUUGUGGAGAGAGGACGGAGCAGGAAGAGGUAAAGUUGUGGAGAGAGGACGGAGCAGGAAGAGGUAAAGUUGUGGAGGGAGGAUGGAGCAGGAAGAGGUAAAGUUGUGGAGAGAGGACGGAGCAGGAAGAGGUAAAGUUGUGGAGAGAGGACGGAGCAGGAAGAGGUAAAGUUGUGGAGAGAGGACGGAGCAGGAAGAGGUAAAGUUGUGGAGGGAGGACGGAGCAGGAAGAGGUAAAGUUGUGGAGAGAGGACGGAGCAGGAAGAGGUAAAGUUGUGGAGAGAGGACGGAGCAGGAAGAGGUAAAGUUGUGGAGAGAGGACGGAGCAGGAAGAGGUAAAGUUGUGGAGGGAGGACGGAGCAGGAAGAGGUAAAGUUGUGGAGAGAGGACGGAGCAGGAAGAGGUAAAGUUGUGGAGAGAGGACGGAGCAGGAAGAGGUAAAGUUGUGGAGAGAGGACGGAGCAGGAAGAGGUAAAGUCGGGGAGAGAGGACGGAGCAGGAAGAGGUAAAGUCGGGGAGAGAGGACGGAGCAGGAAGAGGUAAAGUCGGGGAGAGAGGACGGAGCAGGAAGAGGUAAAGUUGUAAGAAGAGAGGACGGAGCAGGAAGAGGUAAAGUUGUAAGAAGAGAGGACAGAGCAGGAAGAGGUAAAGUCGGGGAGAGGACGGAGCAGGAAGAGGUAAAGUUGUGGAGAGAGGACGGAGCAGGAAGAGGUAAAGUUGUAAGAAGAGAGGACGGAGCGGGAAGAGGUAAAGUUGUAAUAAUAGAGGACGGAGCAGGAAGAGGUAAAGUCGGGGAGAGGACGGAGCAGGAAGAGGUAAAGUUGUAAGAAGAGAGGACGGAGCAGGAAGAGGUAAAGUUGUAAGAAGAGAGGACGGAGCAGGAAGAGGUAAAGUUGUAAGAAGAGAGGACGGAGUAGGAAGAGGUAAAGUUGUAAGAAGAGAGGACGGAGCGGGAAGAGGUAAAGUUGUAAGAAUAGAGGACGGAGCAGGAAGAGGUAAAGUCGGGGAGAGGACGGAGCAGGAAGAGGUAAAGUUGUGGAGAGAGGACGGAGCAGGAAGAGGUAAAGUUGUGGAGAGAGGACGGAGCAGGAAGAGGUAAAGUCGGGGAGAGAGGACGGAGCAGGAAGAGGUAAAGUCGGGGAGAGAGGACGGAGCAGGAAGAGGUAAAGUCGGGGAGAGAGGACGGAGCAGGAAGAGGUAAAGUUGUAAGAAGAGAGGACGGAGCAGGAAGAGGUAAAGUUGUAAGAAGAGAGGACAGAGCAGGAAGAGGUAAAGUCGGGGAGAGGACGGAGCAGGAAGAGGUAAAGUUGUGGAGAGAGGACGGAGCAGGAAGAGGUAAAGUUGUGGAGAGAGGACGGAGCAGGAAGAGGUAAAGUCGGGGAGAGAGGACGGAGCAGGAAGAGGUAAAGUUGUAAGAAGAGAGGACGGAGCGGGAAGAGGUAAAGUCGGGGAGGGAGGACGGAGCAGGAAGAGGUAAAGUCGGGGAGAGAGGACGGAGCAGGAAGAGGUAAAGUCGUGGAGAGAGGACGGAGCAGGAAGAGGUAAAGUCGUGGAGAGAGGACGGAGCAGUAAGAGGUAAAGUCGUGGAGAGAUGACGGAGCAGGAAGAGGUAAAGUCGGGGAGAGAGGACGGAGCAGGAAGAGGUAAAGUUGGGGAGGGAGGACGGAUCAGGAAGAGGUAAAGUCGGGGAGAGAGGACGGAGCGGGAAGAGGUAAAGUUGUGGAGAGAGGACGGAGCAGGAAGAGGUAAAGUUGUAAGAAGAGAGGACGGAGCGGGAAGAGGUAAAGUUGUAAUAAUAGAGGACGGAGCAGGAAGAGGUAAAGUCGGGGAGAGGACGGAGCAGGAAGAGGUAAAGUUGUGGAGAGAGGACGGAGCAGGAAGAGGUAAAGUUGUAAGAAGAGAGGACGGAGCAG
This is a long non-coding RNA of Oncorhynchus keta (chum salmon), 2319 nucleotides long. RefSeq lists it as uncharacterized. Lineage: Eukaryota; Metazoa; Chordata; Actinopteri; Salmoniformes; Salmonidae. The transcript has 3 exons. The record is from RefSeq and is a predicted model, not a curated record.